CCACUGGGAUGAUAGUUUUCCAGCAUUCUUAGUUUCCACCAGAAAGGUUUUCCUUAGUCUUGGGUAAACCUUCCUUGGAUGUCUGAGUGA
Cercocebus atys (sooty mangabey) is the source of this 90-nucleotide small nucleolar RNA. Its record names the gene SNORD14. It matches the Rfam family "Small nucleolar RNA SNORD14". Rfam says of the family: U14 small nucleolar RNA (U14 snoRNA) is required for early cleavages of eukaryotic precursor rRNAs. In yeasts, this molecule possess a stem-loop region (known as the Y-domain) which is essential for function. NCBI's taxonomy places the organism in Eukaryota, Metazoa, Chordata, Mammalia, Primates, Cercopithecidae. The record is from Ensembl.